This 68-nucleotide transfer RNA is filed under the name Siphlonurus immanis. RNAcentral's name for it is "tRNA-Met". Lineage: Eukaryota; Metazoa; Arthropoda; Insecta; Ephemeroptera; Siphlonuridae. The record is from RNAcentral.
AGAAAAGUAAGCUAAAACUAAGCUAAUAGGUUCAUACCCUGUGUAUGGGAUUUAUAUCCCCUUUUCUA